RNAcentral lists this non-coding RNA (23 nucleotides) under Arabidopsis thaliana (thale cress). The record is from RNAcentral. Lineage: Eukaryota; Viridiplantae; Streptophyta; Magnoliopsida; Brassicales; Brassicaceae.
UGGUUUUCACGUUUUGUCUUUUC